RNAcentral lists this ribosomal RNA (262 nucleotides) under uncultured archaeon. RNAcentral describes it as "partial 16S ribosomal RNA". It matches the Rfam family "Archaeal small subunit ribosomal RNA", at positions 748 to 1009 of the family's 1478-position model. The record is from RNAcentral.
UGGCCGUAAACGAUGUGGACUUGGUGUUGGAAUGGCUCCGAGCUGCUCCAGUGCCGAAGGGAAGCUGUUAAGUCCACCGCCUGGGAAGUACGGUCGCAAGACUGAAACUUAAAGGAAUUGGCGGGGAGCACCACAGCGCGUGGAGCCUGCGGUUUAAUUUGGAUUCAACGCCGGACAUCUCACCAGGGGCGGACAGCAGAACGAUGGCCAGGUUGAUGACCUUGCUUGACAAGCUGAGAGGAGGUGCAUGGCGUAGUCGUGU